AGAGUUUGAUCAUGGCUCAGAAUCAACGCUGGCGGCGCGCCUAACACAUGCAAGUCGAACGAGAAAGGGGGGCAAUCCCUGAGUACAGUGGCGUACGGGUGAGUAACACGUGGAUGAUCUACCCCUUAGUUUGGAAUAACCAUGGGAAACCGUGGCUAAUACCGGAUAAGCUCGAGAGAGGAAAGCAGCAAUGCGCUGAGGGAGGAGUCCGCGGCCGAUUAGCUAGUUGGUAGGGUAAGAGCCUACCAAGGCAAAGAUCGGUAGCCGGCCUGAGAGGGCACACGGCCACACUGGCACUGAAACACGGGCCAGACUCCUACGGGAGGCAGCAGUGGGGAAUCUUGCACAAUGGGGGAAACCCUGAUGCAGCGACGCCGCGUGAGCGAUGAAGCCCUUCGGGGUGUAAAGCUCUUUCGGCAGGGAAGAUGGUGACGGUACCUGCAGAAGCAGCUGCGGCUAACUACGUGCCAGCAGCCGCGGUAAUACGUAGGCAGCAAGCGUUGUUCGGAGUUACUGGGCGUAAAGGGUGUGUAGGCGGUUUUUUAAGUUUGGUGUGAAAUCUCCCGGCUCAACUGGGAGGGUGCGCCGAAUACUGAAAGACUAGAGUGCGGGAGAGGAAAGUGGAAUUCCUGGUGUAGCGGUGAAAUGCGUAGAUAUCAGGAGGAACACCGGUGGUGUAGACGGCUUUCUGGACCGUAACUGACGCUGAGACACGAAAGCGUGGGUAGCAAACAGGAUUAGAUACCCUAGUAGUCC
RNAcentral lists this ribosomal RNA (756 nucleotides) under uncultured bacterium. RNAcentral describes it as "bacterial SSU rRNA". It matches the Rfam family "Bacterial small subunit ribosomal RNA", at positions 8 to 796 of the family's 1533-position model. The record is from RNAcentral.